GAGCUCAGUUGCAGAUGGAUGAGGGCCUGUCACGCCUUCUUCUUACCGCCUUAGCUAGCUAUCGUCUGCUUCCAUUUCUGCGUGCUGUUUUCCAGUCGUUAGUCAGAGCCAUUUUCACUGAUGCUGAGCCGCGGAGUGAAAGCUUCUCCCCCCAAGAAUUCAACGCCGACGGACACUGCAGCCGUCUACUUUACACUAACUCCGAGUGUUUACGCCAGAAAGCAGCUUUCGCAAAACAGAUUUCGACGGCCGAGAGAAAUUGGGGUGGUCGGUGAUAAUAUUUUUGGGUAAAAUGCGAUAUGAUACAGCAAGAUCUUCGUCUUGAGGACGGGCAGGGCUUCCUAACCAUCCAGUCUCUCACGUCGUAUGGAGCCAGGCAGGAGAAGGCCCCAGGUCUCCUGACUCAGAGGUUUUUUUGGCUUUCUCUGAAGCCGAUUUCUUUGACUGUACAAAAUAUCACUGACUUGUGUGAUUUGUCACCUGGAGAGAAUAAUAAAAUGGUGAUUGU
Long non-coding RNA from Notolabrus celidotus (New Zealand spotty), 508 nucleotides. RefSeq lists it as uncharacterized. The transcript is spliced from 2 exons. Lineage: Eukaryota; Metazoa; Chordata; Actinopteri; Labriformes; Labridae. The record is from RefSeq and is a predicted model, not a curated record.